Molecule: ribosomal RNA, 409 nt
Filed under: Actinomycetes bacterium
Lineage: Bacteria; Bacillati; Actinomycetota; Actinomycetes
Description: Actinobacteria bacterium partial 16S ribosomal RNA
Rfam family: Bacterial small subunit ribosomal RNA
Source: RNAcentral
UGGGGAAUAUUGCACAAUGGGCGGAAGCCUGAUGCAGCGACGCCGCGUGGGGGAUGAAUGCCUUCGGGUUGUAAACUCCUUUCGACAGGGACGAAGCUUUUGUGACGGUACCUGUAUAAGAAGCACCGGCUAACUACGUGCCAGCAGCCGCGGUAAUACGUAGGGUGCGAGCGUUGUCCGGAAUUACUGGACGUAAAGAGCUCGUAGGUGGUUUGUCGCGUCGUCUGUGAAAUUCCGGGGCUUAACUCCGGGCGUGCAGGCGAUACGGGCUGACUUGAGUGCUGUAGGGGAGACUGGAAUUCCUGGUGUAGCGGUGAAAUGCGCAAAUAUCAGGAGGAACACCGAUGGCGAAGGCAGGUCUCUGAGCAGUAACUGACGCUGAGGAGCGAAAGCAUGGGUAGCGAACAGG